RNAcentral lists this ribosomal RNA (513 nucleotides) under uncultured bacterium. Its description in RNAcentral is "partial 16S ribosomal RNA". It matches the Rfam family "Bacterial small subunit ribosomal RNA", at positions 28 to 507 of the family's 1533-position model. The record is from RNAcentral.
GACGAACGCUGGCGGCGUGCUUAACACAUGCAAGUCGAACGAAAAGAGGGAAAGAGCUUGCUCUUUCCGGAAUUGAGUGGCAAACGGGUGAGUAACACGUAAACAACCUGCCUUCAGGAUGGGGACAACAGACGGAAACGACUGCUAAUACCGAAUAAGUUCCAAGAGCCGCAUGGCCCAUGGAAGAAAAGGUGGCCUCUACCUGUAAGCUAUCGCCUGAAGAGGGGUUUGCGUCUGAUUAGCUGGUUGGAGGGGUAACGGCCCACCAAGGCGGCGAUCAGGGGCCGGUCUGAGAGGAUGAACGGCCACACUGGAACUGAGACACGGUCCAGACUCCUACGGGAGGCAGCAGUGGGGAAUCUUCCGCAAUGGGCGAAAGCCUGACGGAGCAACGCCGCGUGAGUGAUGACGGCCUUCGGGUUGUAAAACUCUGUGAUCCGGGACGAAAAGGCAGAGUGCGAAGAACAAACUGCAUUGACGGUACCGGAAAAGCAAGCCACGGCUAACUACGUG